Molecule: ribosomal RNA, 406 nt
Filed under: uncultured bacterium
Lineage: Bacteria
Description: partial 16S ribosomal RNA
Rfam family: Bacterial small subunit ribosomal RNA
Source: RNAcentral
AUUGAACGCUGGCGGCAGGCCUAACACAUGCAAGUCGAACGAGUGGCGGACGGGUGAGUAAUGUCUGGGAAACUGCCUGAUGGAGGGGGAUAACUACUGGAAACGGUAGCUAAUACCGCAUACCAUCGGAUGUGCCCAGAUGGGAUUAGCUAGUAGGUGGGGUAAAGGCUCACCUAGGCGACGAUCCCUAGCUGGUCUGCGAGGAUGACAAGGCAAAAGGGAAAUAGGACACGGUCCAGACUCCUACGGGAGGAAGAAGUGGGGAAUAAUGCAAAAUGGGCGCAAGCCUGAUGCAGCCAUGCCGCGUGUAGGAAGAAGGCCUUCGGGUUGUAAAGUACUUUCAGCGGGGAGGCGUUACCCGCAGAAGAAGCACCGGCUAACUCCGUGCCAGCAGCCGCGGUAAUAC